GGUAUGGUCGGAUAUGCUGUUGUUGAUCUAUGGUUGGCUCACACCAAAAUAUCUAGCACCUUCUCUCCCAAUCGCCUGCCUCCUCUCUCACUCCUCUAUUCAUUCUCUCUUCUGCUCUUCGUGGGGAUUCUAGUGCGGCGGCAUCCUGGCGUGCGGGCCGUAGGUGGCGGUGGCUCGGGAGCAGGCAGCCCCCAACGCACAAAGAAUGCGGUGUGAGCAGGCCCAUGUGAAGGUUGAUCCAGAGCCUCCAUGACCGGAUCCAAGGCUUCCAUGGCUGGAACCGUCGUUCCCCCAUCCGAUCUGACCCGGUGGCGUCCAUUUGGGUGCCGCUCGCUAAGGUUUGGUGGCAGCCGCAUGCAGGAGCUGGGUUGUCCCCGGUGAGUGCCCAUGGCAGAUCCCACCGUGCUCUCCUCCAUGCGACCGGCACCGUCCGUGGCUGGGCCGCUGCAGCGACACGCUCCCCUUGCUGGACGACGACGUUUUUUCUGACCGACAGUGCCGCAGACUCGCUGCACAAGACUGACGGCUCAAAUUUGGUUACUGAGUUUUUUUUUUUCUGGUAUGCAUAUUUGGAUUGUUAAAAAAUGCAAGAAAAGUAUACCGUGGUACUGUACUUCA
Sorghum bicolor (sorghum) is the source of this 618-nucleotide long non-coding RNA. RefSeq lists it as uncharacterized. The record is from RefSeq and is a predicted model, not a curated record. The transcript is spliced from 2 exons. NCBI's taxonomy places the organism in Eukaryota, Viridiplantae, Streptophyta, Magnoliopsida, Poales, Poaceae.